ACGGCAACUGACUCUAUCGCUGGCGUAUGCGGCAACGCACUACGCGAGAGGAAAGUCCGGGCAACACGAGCCACCAUACUUCCUAACGGGAAGGCGGCAGAGAGGCAAGCGCUCUGCCGACAGAGAGUGCCACAGAAAGAUAAACCGCCCCUUUCGAGGGGUAAGGGUGCAAGCGCGAGGCAAGAGCUCACGACAGGGGUCAGCAAUGGCUCCUGAUGGUAAACCUUAUGGGUUGAAAGACCAAAUAUACCGGCAGUUAAGGGCUGGCUCGCCCGUUGUCGGGGGGUAGGUUGAUAGAGGCCGGCGGCGACGUCGGCAGUAGAUUGAUGAUAGAGGCUGCCGCCUUUGCGGGCGCAGAACAGAACCCGGCUUAUGAGGUUGCCGUUUUU
RNAcentral lists this RNase P RNA (389 nucleotides) under Candidatus Colimorpha merdihippi. RNAcentral's name for it is "RNase P RNA component class A". It matches the Rfam family "Bacterial RNase P class A". From Rfam's summary of the family: Ribonuclease P (RNase P) is a ubiquitous endoribonuclease, found in archaea, bacteria and eukarya as well as chloroplasts and mitochondria. The record is from RNAcentral. Lineage: Bacteria; Pseudomonadati; Bacteroidota; Bacteroidia; Bacteroidales.